GAAAGGUCUCUGGAUGAGGGUGCUGGGGAAGCACAGCCCACCGUGCAGCGUGGGGACUCGCUGGGGGGCAGGUGCCCUCUGGCUGCGGCUGCCCAACUGUUGCAUCUGCGGGUUUUCCUACGGGCAAAGGCUCAGCUCCCACCCUGUCCCCGGUGCCCAUCCACCUGCAAAUCAAAAGACGAGCUCUCUGCUAUUCCGGGAGUCCUGCUUUGGUUGACGACGUGCUGAAUAGCCAGGGUAUCUGGGGUUUUGAAAUAAAAUUUCUUCUUCUGACUGCAACAGAUUCGCAUCUAAUCAAAACGCUUAAUUAAAAAAAUACUCAGCCUUGGCUGACAUUGGUUUCCUAGGUUGGCCCAUCCACCUGCCCACAUUGGAGUGCCCUGCUGGCAUCUGAGGACAAUCAUUCAAAGCAGAUUCAUCCUAAGGACCAAAUAUCAACACUGAGAGGGAUCAAAAGUUCCACUUCAACAGUAUUGACAUUAAGCACCUGAGCCAAGUCCCACAGGGGACCUGCGUGUUCUGGUCCCAGGUCAGACAGCUGGGCAAUGUGCUCCCCGGCCAGCAGGGGGAGCCCCCGAGUCUCAAGGGGAGCCAGGCCUGCAGCCAGAUCCCAGCCAAGAACACAGGAAAGGAGGGAACUCAGGAAAAACUCACCUGCUGAAAAAGGCAGCUUCGCGGAUCUGCACAGCCAUUUACACUGCACGUUCAACGCCGUUCAGAAAAAAGGUCCAGCAGAAGAGACUUGGGUCCCAUGUACCGAGACCCCAGGAAACCUGGCGGAAGGUCGAAUUCCAGAG
This is a long non-coding RNA of Molossus molossus (Pallas's mastiff bat), 797 nucleotides long. RefSeq lists it as uncharacterized. Lineage: Eukaryota; Metazoa; Chordata; Mammalia; Chiroptera; Molossidae. The transcript has 4 exons. The record is from RefSeq and is a predicted model, not a curated record.